This is a long non-coding RNA of Saccostrea cuccullata (small rock oyster), 685 nucleotides long. RefSeq lists it as uncharacterized. The transcript is spliced from 6 exons. Lineage: Eukaryota; Metazoa; Mollusca; Bivalvia; Ostreida; Ostreidae. The record is from RefSeq and is a predicted model, not a curated record.
UUUAGAUCACAGACAAAUAUGAAAAGAGGAAAAAGAACUUCAAAUGAAGUUGCGGAUACCUCGUCCAAAUGGAACUAUCCUGAUAAAGAAUCUGAAGUUGUAGGUGCAGGAAUUGAAAGAUUCUACCGAAGAUCAUCUAAUUUCUUAAUCAAAAAAUGCAUAGUAAGUGUCCUUUGCAUCAUUGUACUAAUUCUGUCCGUAAUGCUGGUAAUGCAAGGAGACGCUGUUGAAUCUGAUCUAUUCCAUCCGAACGGUUCAGAGAUUAACGUAACCUAAAUCUGUCUGUUCCAUUUACCACCGAUACUGAAGCUGUUCAUGUUAUAUGGAGGGAAUAUUUAAGUUUUGAAAGCUUAUGCAUUGUUCUAGGUGUACUAGGUACAUUUAUACUAAUUAUACUGCAAUGCAUAACAGUAACAGAGGUAUUGCGUGUGCAAAACAAAUUAAUGAAUCAAAAUGUUGAACAACAACAACAACCUCGAACUGUGGAACCAGAGCCAGAGCCAGAACUUAGAUAUCGACAAAAAUUAGAAAAUUCACUGUGCAUUGUAAGUUUUUCCAAGGAUAAUCAUGCCACAUGUAACUGAUGAAAUCUUUAAUGGAUCGCCUGAUGGAUGUAAACCUACAAACCAAGCGUGUUGUUAUAACAAAACCAGACAAACUCAACAUCAUUCCUCCUUCUAAGGUA